GUUGAUCAUGGCUCAGGAUGAACGCUGGCGGCGUGCUUAACACAUGCAAGUCGAGCGGAGAUAUAAAAGGAAGCCUCGGGUGGAAUUUUACAUCUAGCGGCGGACGGGUGCGUAACACGUGGGUAACCUGCCCCUAUCACUGGGAUAACACACUGAAAAGUGUGCUAAUACCAGAUAACAUAAGCUUUUUGGCAUCAUUAGCUUAUCAAAGAAUUUCGGAUAGGGAUGGGCCCGCGUCUGAUUAGCUAGUUGGUGAGGUAACGGCUCACCAAGGCAACGAUCAGUAGCCGACCUGAGAGGGUGAUCGGCCACACUGGAACUGAGACACGGUCCAGACUCCUACGGGAGGCAGCAGUGGGGAAUAUUGCACAAUGGGCGAAAGCCUGAUGCAAGCAACGCCGCGUGAGCGAUGAAGGCCUUCGGGUCGUAAAGCUCUGUCCUAUGGGAAGAUAAUGACGGUACCAUAGGAGGAAGCCCCGGCUAACUACGUGCCAGCCGCUGC
This 502-nucleotide ribosomal RNA is filed under the name uncultured bacterium. RNAcentral describes it as "bacterial SSU rRNA". It matches the Rfam family "Bacterial small subunit ribosomal RNA", at positions 11 to 518 of the family's 1533-position model. The record is from RNAcentral.